UUUGUACAGCUAUCAAUUAUCAAAUUAAAUUAUUAAAUAAAAAUACUAUAUUUUUUUUUAUAAUUUUAAUGAAAAAUUUAUUUUUAUUUUUAUUUUAUAUAUCAUAUCAAAUAUUAUUGAACUUGAUACGAGGAUGGAUCAUCGAAAAAAAUUGUUUUCGAGUUUUUUUUCUCUAAAGAAUGAUUUAUUUCUUUUUAUGUUGGAAUAGAUGGGUCUUUAGAAUCAAACGACUUUGUCAGGGGCAACCUUUGGUGCUUGGUGUGUGAC
This 267-nucleotide long non-coding RNA is filed under the name Lathyrus oleraceus (garden pea). Its description in RNAcentral is "Pisum sativum (pea) long non-coding RNA (PSAT_LNC038000)". Lineage: Eukaryota; Viridiplantae; Streptophyta; Magnoliopsida; Fabales; Fabaceae. The record is from RNAcentral.